GACGAACGCUGGCGGCGUGCUUAACACAUGCAAGUCGAACGGAAAGGCCCUGCUUUUGUGGGGUGCUCGAGUGGCACACGGGUGUGUAACACGUGAGUAACCUGCCCUUGACUGUGGGAUAACUUCAGGAAACUGGGGCUAAUACCGGAUAGGAGCUCCUGCUGCAUGGUGGGGGGUGGAAAGUUUCGGCGGUUGGGGAUGGACUCGCGGCUUAUCAGCUUGUUGGUGGGGUAGUGGCUUACCAAGGCUUUGACGGGUAGCCGGCCUGAGAGGGUGACCGGCCACACUGGGACUGAGAUACGGCCCAGACUCCUACGGGAGGCAGCAGUGGGGAAUAUUGCACAAUGGGCGGAAGCCUGAUGCAGCAACGCCGCGUGCGGGAUGACGGCCUUCGGGUUGUAAACCGCUUUCGCUUGUGACGAAGCGUGAGUGACGGUAAUGGGUAAAGAAGCACCGGCUAACUACGUG
Molecule: ribosomal RNA, 468 nt
Filed under: uncultured bacterium
Lineage: Bacteria
Description: partial 16S ribosomal RNA
Rfam family: Bacterial small subunit ribosomal RNA
Source: RNAcentral